UCAAAGAUUAAGCCAUGCAUGUGUAAGUAUAAACAAAUUAUAUUGUGAAACUGCGAAUGGCUCAUUAAAUCAGUUAUAAUUUAAUUGAUAAUGACGUUUACUAUAUGGAUAGCCGUAGUAAUUCUAGAGCUAAUACAUGCGUAAAGGUCAAACUCUUUAGGGAAUGACUGUAUUUAUUAGAUCGAAGACCAAACCCAUUUUAUGGGAUUAGGUGAAUCAUAAUAAGUUUGUCGAAUCGUGAUUAAGUUGACGAUGUGUCAUUGAAAUUUCUGCCCUAUCAACUUGUGAUGGUAGGAUAGAGGCCUACGAUGGUUUUGACGGGUAACGGGGAAUUAGGGUUCGAUUCCGGAGAGGGAGCCUGAGAAACGGCUACCACUUCUAAGGAAGGCAGCAGGCGCGCAAAUUACCCAAUCCCAAUAAUUUUGGGGAGGUAGUGACAAAAAAUACUGAUUCGUUGCACAAUAGUGUGAUGAAAUUAGAAUGGUCUUGAUAUAACACAUCGAGAGAGAAACAAUUAGAGGGCAAGUCUGGUGCCAGCAGCCGCGGUAAUUCCAGCUCUAAUAGUGUAUACUAAAAUUGCUGCAGUUAAAAAGCUCGUAGUUGGAUUUGUGAUACUAAACAUUUUCCAUUAGUUUUGGGGUUAAUGGAUCUAAGUUAACUUCCAUAAUAACUGAUGGGUGUAUAGAAUCAAAUGAAUUUUUCGAAGGGGUAUAUUACACUUAAUUGUGGUAAUGUAUCUACUCGGAGGGUUUACUUUGAAGAAAAUGGAGUGUUCAAAGCAGGUAAAAAAAAUGCAACUGAACAGAUUAGCAUGGAAUAAUAAAAUAGGACACGAAGGUCACUGUAAUAGGUGAUCACUAUGGUAUCGAAAGGUAUUAUAGUUACUGUUUUGUUGGUCCACAGUAUAUGUGUAAUGAUUAAUAGGGACAGUUGGGGACAUUGGUAUUGCAUCGUCAGAGGUGAAAUUCUUGGAUUGAUGCAAGACGAACGAGUGCGAAAGCAUUUGUCAAGGAUGUUUUCAUUAAUCAAGAACGAAAGUUAGGGGAUCGAAGGCGAUCAGAAACCGCCCUAGUCUUAACUAUAAACUAUGCCAACUAGGGAUUGUCGGGUAUAGGAAAUAUUUUAGGAUAUUUCUGUUAUGCUAGAUUUAUGUGGGAAUUCGUUCCUGUGUAAAUUGCCUCGCCAGCACCUGUGGAGAAAUCAUAAGUCUUUGGGUUCUGGGGGGAGUAUGGUCACAAGGCUGAAACUUAAAGAAAUUGACGGAAGGGCACCACCAGGUGUGGAGCCUGCGGCUUAAUUUGACUCAACACGGGGAAACUUACCAGGUCCAGACAGCGGAAGGAUUGACAGAUUGAUAGUUUUUUCUUGAUUCGGUGGGUGGUGGUGCAUGGUCGUUCUUAGUUGGUGGAGCGAUUUGUCUGCUUAAUUGCGAUAACGAACGAGACCUCAACCUGCUAAAUAAGCUUUUCGGUAGUUUUAUGCUACCGGUUAAAAUUAAGCUGCUUAGAGGGACAACCACUAUUGAGGUGGGGGAAGCAUGAGGCAAUAACAGGUCUGUGAUGCCCUUAGAUGUCCUGGGCCGCACGCGCGCUACACUGAUUAAAUCAACAAGCUCAGAUAUAAGGAAUCUUUCGGGAUGACUUUUCUCCUUAUCCGAAAGGAUUGGGUAAUCUUUUGAAUUUUAAUCGUGCUGGGGAUUGAUUUUUGUAAUUAUGGAUCAUGAACUAGGAAUACCUAGUAAGUGCAAUUCAUCAGAUUGCGCUGAUUACGUCCCUGCCCUUUGUACACACCGCCCGUCGCUCCUACCGAUUGAAUGAUCAGAUGAAAUUUUCGGAUUGUAUCUGAGGGCCUCAAAACCCUUUGUUUACAAGAAGAGAAAGUAAAUCUUAUUAUUUAGA
RNAcentral lists this ribosomal RNA (1898 nucleotides) under Polymastigidae sp. Xx479TmB. Its description in RNAcentral is "SSU rRNA". It matches the Rfam family "Eukaryotic small subunit ribosomal RNA". The record is from RNAcentral. Lineage: Eukaryota; Preaxostyla; Oxymonadida; Polymastigidae.